Molecule: unclassified non-coding RNA, 323 nt
Filed under: uncultured fungus
Lineage: Eukaryota; Fungi
Description: partial contains small subunit ribosomal RNA, internal transcribed spacer 1, and 5.8S ribosomal RNA
Rfam family: Eukaryotic small subunit ribosomal RNA (bases 1-73)
Source: RNAcentral
CCAAACUUGGUCAUUUAGAGGAAGUAAAAGUCGUAACAAGGUUUCCGUAGGUGAACCUGCGGAAGGAUCAUUACAGAGUGACGAUCUUCGGAUCGAUUACCCGCCCUCAUGUCAUGUUUUUGGUGGGGUCAACGUGCCCCCCGAUUCUACUUCCCAGGAAGUGUCGCCGUCGUCCGUACGCUCGCGUGGGCGGAUGGAGGCGACCGCCUGGGGCCUUUUUUUAAGCAACUCUGUCGAGAUGAUGAAGUCUGAAUGUAAACAAUAACAAAAGCAAAACUUUCAACAACGGAUCUCUUGGCUCUGGCAUCGAUGAAGAACGCAGC